GGCCCUAGCGGAGGGCGAUCCCACGACCCGCCGCGCCGCGUGACUCACCUGUAGCACCUCGCGACGCCGCACCACCGCGAACGUAGCGCCGCGCCGAAAAAACGGGAAGACCAGUGGAGUGCAGAGUGACAGUGCAAGAAGACGAGAUUCGGCAGGGGGUACCGCAGCAACGAGUUUUCUGCGUCUGCUGCGUCAGGGGAACCCUUCGGAGGCCCUUGAGGGCCACUUGGGCCCAGAACCCAACCGACACCCCCCCAAGGGGGGGUCCUUUACAGGUCGCGAGGCUUCCACAAUAGGCCGCCGCUGUGGCGCUGCAGGCAUCGCCGUGCUCGGAUGGGCCCGCCCCCUCCAC
Molecule: long non-coding RNA, 352 nt
Organism: Thrips palmi
Lineage: Eukaryota; Metazoa; Arthropoda; Insecta; Thysanoptera; Thripidae
Exons: 4
Source: RefSeq, a predicted model, not a curated record